This 1217-nucleotide ribosomal RNA is filed under the name uncultured Rhizaria. Its description in RNAcentral is "SSU rRNA". It matches the Rfam family "Eukaryotic small subunit ribosomal RNA", at positions 577 to 1805 of the family's 1831-position model. The record is from RNAcentral.
CGGUAAUUCCAGCUCCAAUAGCGUAUACUAAAGUUGUUGCAGUUAAAAAGCUCGUAGUUGGAUUUCUGCGGGGACGGAGCGGCCGGUCGCAACUUGCGACUCGAGCUAGCGCUUUCCCCGCAUCCUGCCGCGAACCGUGCUACCAUUAGUUGGUGGCGCUGGGGAUCGGCUCGAUUACUUUGAGAAAAAUAGAGUGUUCAAAGCAGGCCACACGCCUUGAAUAAGUUAGCAUGGAAUAAUGACUAAGGACUUCGGUUCUAUUUUGUUGGUGUUCGGGACUGAAGUAAUGAUUGAUAGGGACAGUUGGGGCGGUCUGUAUUCCAAAGCGAGAGGUGAAAUUCUUAGACCUUCGGAAGACAAACAGCUGCGAAAGCGUUCCGCAAGGAUGUUCCCUUUGAUCAAGAACGAAAGUUGGGGGAUCGAAGACGAUCAGAUACCGUCGUAGUCUCAACUAUAAACUAUACCAGCUAGGGAUCGGUCAACGUUUAAUCAUUCGACUUGAUCGGCACCUUAUGAGAAAUCAAAGCAUCUGGGUUCCGGGGGGAGUAUGGUCGCAAGGCUGAAACUUAAAGGAAUUGACGGAAGGGCACCACCAGCCGUGGAGCCUGUGGCUUAAUUUGACUCAACACGGGAAAACUUACCAGGUCCAGACAUAGUAAGGAUUGACAGAUUGAUAGCUCUUUCUUGAUUCUGUGGGUGGCGGUGCAUGGCCGUUCUUAGUUGGUGGAGUGAUUUGUCUGGUUAAUUCCGUUAACGAACGAGACCCCAGCCUGCUAAAUAGCGCGGCUGAGCUUUGCUCGGUGCGAGCUUCUUAGAGGGACUAUGAUGCGCGAUAGCACAUGGAAGUUUGGGGCAAUAACAGGUCUGUGAUGCCCUUAGAUGUUCUGGGCCGCACACGGGCUACACUGGCGCCUGCAACGAGCAUAUCAGCUGGCCCGAGAGGGUCUUGGCUAAUCUUUUGAACCGGCGCCGUGCUUGGGAUUGACCAUUGCAAUUGUUGGUCAUGCAACGAGGAAUGCCUUGUAAACGCGAGUCAUCAGCUCGCAUUGAAUACGUCCCUGCCCUUUGUACACACCGCCCGUCGCUCCUACCGAUGAAUGUUCCGAUGAAAUUUUCGGAGAGCGCCAGAGAACGGGGCUCCGCCUUGCAGAUCUGGAGGCUCAAAGUCACUUAAAUCUGAACAUUUCGAGGAAGGAGAAGUCGUAACAAGGUAGCCG